Molecule: ribosomal RNA, 272 nt
Filed under: uncultured prokaryote
Description: partial 16S ribosomal RNA
Rfam family: Bacterial small subunit ribosomal RNA
Source: RNAcentral
UACGUAGGUGGCGAGCGUUGUCCGGAUUUACUGGGCGUAAAGGGAGCGUAGGCGGACUUUUAAGUGAGAUGUGAAAUACCCGGGCUCAACUUGGGUGCUGCAUUUCAAACUGGAAGUCUAGAGUGCAGGAGAGGAGAAUGGAAUUCCUAGUGUAGCGGUGAAAUGUGUAGAGAUUAGGAAGAACACCAGUGGCGAAGGCGAUUCUCUGGACUGUAACUGACGCUGAGGCUCGAAAGCGUGGGGAGCAAACAGGAUUAGGAUACCCCCGUAGU